Molecule: non-coding RNA, 125 nt
Organism: Hordeum vulgare subsp. vulgare (domesticated barley)
Lineage: Eukaryota; Viridiplantae; Streptophyta; Magnoliopsida; Poales; Poaceae
Source: Rfam
AAUCUACUCCCUCUAUCCGAAAAUACUUGUCAUAGAAAUGGAUGUAUCUAGAUGUAUUUUAGUUUCACAUACAUCCAUUUUUAUAUAUUUGUGCGACAAGUAAUUCCGGAUGGAGGGAGUAUAUA